GCCGAAGUGGUGGAACUGGUAGACACGCUGGUCUUAGGAACCAGUGCCUAUGGCGUAAGGGUUCGAGUCCCUUCUUCGGCA
This 81-nucleotide transfer RNA is filed under the name Candidatus Parcubacteria bacterium. Its description in RNAcentral is "tRNA-Leu". It matches the Rfam family "tRNA". Rfam says of the family: Transfer RNA (tRNA) molecules are approximately 80 nucleotides in length. Their secondary structure includes four short double-helical elements and three loops (D, anti-codon, and T loops). The record is from RNAcentral. Lineage: Bacteria; Candidatus Parcubacteria.